RNAcentral lists this transfer RNA (65 nucleotides) under Andrena labiata. RNAcentral describes it as "tRNA-Glu". The record is from RNAcentral. Lineage: Eukaryota; Metazoa; Arthropoda; Insecta; Hymenoptera; Andrenidae.
AUUUAUAUAGUUUAAAAAAAACAUUAUAUUUUCAAUAUAAAAUUAAUAAAAUUUAUUUUUAAAUA